AUUGUAACAGAAGAAGAAAAGAAAAGAAGAGGGGGACAAAAAAACAACUUUUCUUGUUUUUUGUUUCCCUUCGAUUUUUGCUUCUCAAAACUUCUUUCCCCCCUUUCCCCAACUUUGUUUUUUUUUUGGAUAAA
This 134-nucleotide non-coding RNA is filed under the name Picochlorum sp. RCC944. The record is from RNAcentral. Lineage: Eukaryota; Viridiplantae; Chlorophyta; Trebouxiophyceae.